This 475-nucleotide ribosomal RNA is filed under the name uncultured bacterium. Its description in RNAcentral is "bacterial SSU rRNA". It matches the Rfam family "Bacterial small subunit ribosomal RNA", at positions 38 to 493 of the family's 1533-position model. The record is from RNAcentral.
GGCGGCGUGCUUACCAUGCAAGUCGAACGCGAAAGGGACUUCGGUCCUGAGUAAAGUGGCGCACGGGUGAGUAACGCGUGGAUAAUCUACCCGAUGAUCCGGGAUAACAUUUCGAAAGGGGUGCUAAUACCGGGUAAGACCACGAGCUCUUCGGAGUUUGCGGUAAAAGGUGGGGACCUUCGGGCCUACCGUCAACGGAUGAGUCCGCGUACCAUUAGCUAGUUGGUGGGGUAAGAGCCUACCAAGGCGACGAUGGUUAGCUGGUCUGAGAGGAUGAUCAGCCACACUGGAACUGAGACACGGUCCAGACUCCUACGGGAGGCAGCAGUGGGGAAUUUUGCGCAAUGGGGGAAACCCUGACGCAGCAACGCCGCGUGAGUGAUGAAGGCCUUCGGGUCGUAAAGCUCUGUCAGAGGGGAAGAAGUGCAGGGGUGCUAAUAUCACCUUUGUUUGACGGUACCCUCAAAGGAAGCAC